Molecule: ribosomal RNA, 759 nt
Filed under: uncultured bacterium
Lineage: Bacteria
Description: bacterial SSU rRNA
Rfam family: Bacterial small subunit ribosomal RNA
Source: RNAcentral
GAGUUUGAUCCUGGCUCAGAACGAACGCUGGCGGCAGGCCUAACACAUGCAAGUCGAGCGAGACCUUCGGGUCUAGCGGCGGACGGGUUAGUAACGCGUGGGAACGUGCCCUUCUCUGCGGAAUAGCCACUGGAAACGGUGAGUAAUACCGCAUACGCCCUUCGGGGGAAAGAUUUAUCGGAGAAGGAUCGGCCCGCGUUAGAUUAGAUAGUUGGUGGGGUAAUGGCCUACCAAGUCUACGAUCUAUAGCUGGUUUUAGAGGAUGAUCAGCAACACUGGGACUGAGACACGGCCCAGACUCCUACGGGAGGCAGCAGUGGGGAAUCUUAGACAAUGGGCGCAAGCCUGAUCUAGCCAUGCAGCGUGUGUGAUGAAGGUCUUAGGAUCGUAAAGCACUUUCGCCAGGGAUGAUAAUGACAGUACCUGGUAAAGAAACCCCGGCUAACUCCGUGCCAGCAGCCGCGGUAAUACGGAGGGGGUUAGCGUUGUUCGGAAUUACUGGGCGUAAAGCGUACGUAGGCGGAUCAGAAAGUAAGGGGUGAAAUCCCAGGGCUCAACCCUGGAACUGCCUCUUAAACUCCUGGUCUUGAGUUCGAGAGAGGUGAGUGGAAUUCCAAGUGUAGAGGUGAAAUUCGUAGAUAUUUGGAGGAACACCAGUGGCGAAGGCGGCUCACUGGCUCGAUACUGACGCUGAGGUACGAAAGUGUGGGGAGCAAACAGGAUUAGAUACCCUGGUAGUCCACACCGUAAACGAUGAAU